AGUCAGGAAGGAACAAAUGAAGUUCACCAUCGUCCUCAUUCUGACCUUUGAGCUCUUCUCUUUUGGUCAUUGGAUUGAGGGCCUAUCACAUCCUCAAACAAAACCUAAACCCACGAUACAAGCCCCCAACGGAGGGAAGGUUGUUCUGCCAUGCCCACUACAAUUCAACAAGAAGCAUUCAGAUUUAACAUGGAAAUGGACCAAUCAGUCGGAAAUAAAAUAUGUUUUGGUGUACAAGGACGGACGUGAACAUGCAGGGGAACAAGAUACGUCUUAUACUGGCAGAGUGAGUCUGGAGGAUAGUGAGUCACCAUCUUUAUUGUUGAGAAACGUCAAGAGUACAGACUGGGGGACAUACAUUUGUACAGUCCACACUGAUAAAGGAAAGGACACCCGGGUGGUGGAACUACAGGUUCACCCAGAUGGCACAGCAGGAACUGGCCACCUAAUCAAUUCAGCUGGUACUGCUGUGACUUCGCAGUCAAGUUUAAUUAUCAUGGCUAUUUUAUCAAUGGUGUUGGUGUUAUUUUGCCUAUGAUUUUCAUUGAAUUGCUUCGGGUCGCUUUGCUUCUAGGACCAUGAGAUGAAAUUCUCAGCAGACAAUCCUAAUCCUAGUACCUAACGUAAAUACUCAGCGUACUAGGCUGAAGAAAGAAUUCAAGUUCCUGCUAUAUAUAUAUAUAUAUUUUUUUUUUUUUCUUUUUUUCUCAUAUCUGAUCAAACCCAU
Long non-coding RNA from Synchiropus splendidus (mandarinfish), 727 nucleotides. RefSeq lists it as uncharacterized. The transcript is spliced from 3 exons. The record is from RefSeq and is a predicted model, not a curated record. Lineage: Eukaryota; Metazoa; Chordata; Actinopteri; Syngnathiformes; Callionymidae.